UUACCUGGUCCGGACAUCGAUAGGAUUGACAGACUAAUAGAUCUUUCAUGAUACGGUGGGUGGUGGUGCAUGGCCGUUCUUAGUUCGUGGAGCGAUCUGUCAGGUUUAUUCCGGUAACGAACGAGAUCACGUUCUUCAUUUGGGGAGCUGUAUUCAUCUUUGAUUGCAUUACAGUUUCGGCUGUGGUAAUGGAAAUUUUUGUUUACAAAAGUUUCUGCUAUCAUUGUUGAAGGCAUCGUAUAGUUGCCAAGGGUGUAUUGGUUGAGGUGGCAACAUCAAGGCUGAUGCAUUUGAGGUAAUCUGUGCGCUCCCUCCGGCUUAGCAGUGCAUGUCUUGCAAGAGUCGUGUAUUGUAUCAUGGAGAGACAACGGAAAAUAUUUUAAAAAUCCGAGGAAGUGUGGCUAUAACAGGUCUGUGAUGCCCUUAGAUGUUCAGGGCUGCACGCGCGCUACAAU
RNAcentral lists this ribosomal RNA (455 nucleotides) under uncultured metazoan. Its description in RNAcentral is "SSU rRNA". It matches the Rfam family "Eukaryotic small subunit ribosomal RNA", at positions 1215 to 1504 of the family's 1831-position model. Lineage: Eukaryota; Metazoa. The record is from RNAcentral.